CCUUUCGCCAUGCGCUCCUGGCGGGCCGGACAUGGAGGCGGGAAGCGGCACCGGGACCACGUUAAGAGUGGCCGGGAACCGCGUUGGGACCGCUGCGAGCGGCUCCUCGCAGAAAGAUGGCUUGAAGUAAAAAAGAGCCUGGCUUUCCAGAUGAAGGUGACAUAGGGAGUAGGCUGCUCUUUGGAGAUGGCCCUAAUGUGAAGGUGAUGUUAUAGCUCUCCACAAGUCCUGCAGAAGGCAGUGAGACAGCAAAAGCAGGAGAUUCCUCUGGGUGUUUAUGCUGAGAACAUCUUGUCUGAGGAAGAAGCAAUCCAGUAAAACACGUGCGUGAGCUUGGGGACUAGUGUUUGUAAAGACCAUGUCUUUUUCUGCCCUAAAAUGUUAAGAAAUGAUAACAGUUACACUGUUUUGAUGACACAUACAUUAAAAUCCGAUCUCAAAACAAA
Molecule: long non-coding RNA, 446 nt
Filed under: Strigops habroptila (Kakapo)
Lineage: Eukaryota; Metazoa; Chordata; Aves; Psittaciformes; Psittacidae
Description: lncRNA (ENSSHBG00005016021.1)
Source: RNAcentral